UUUUGACUAGUUUAGCUGGUAAAGAAUCUGCCUGCAAGGCAGGAAACCCCAGUUCGAUUCUUGGGUUGGGAA
This 72-nucleotide transfer RNA is filed under the name Bos taurus (domestic cattle). It matches the Rfam family "tRNA". From Rfam's summary of the family: Transfer RNA (tRNA) molecules are approximately 80 nucleotides in length. Their secondary structure includes four short double-helical elements and three loops (D, anti-codon, and T loops). Lineage: Eukaryota; Metazoa; Chordata; Mammalia; Artiodactyla; Bovidae. RNAcentral also lists the same sequence under 3 other names. The record is from Rfam by way of RNAcentral.